This 496-nucleotide ribosomal RNA is filed under the name uncultured bacterium. RNAcentral's name for it is "partial 16S ribosomal RNA". It matches the Rfam family "Bacterial small subunit ribosomal RNA", at positions 28 to 506 of the family's 1533-position model. The record is from RNAcentral.
GAUGAACGCUGGCGGCGUGCCUAAUACAUGCAAGUCGAGCGAACAGACGAGGAGCUUGCUCCUCUGACGUUAGCGGCGGACGGGUGAGUAACACGUGGAUAACCUACCUAUAAGACUGGGAUAACUUCGGGAAACCGGAGCUAAUACCGGAUAAUAUAUUGAACCGCAUGGUUCAAUAGUGAAAGACGGUUUUGCUGUCACUUAUAGAUGGAUCCGCGCCGCAUUAGCUAGUUGGUAAGGUAACGGCUUACCAAGGCAACGAUGCGUAGCCGACCUGAGAGGGUGAUCGGCCACACUGGAACUGAGACACGGUCCAGAAUCCUACGGGAGGCAGCAGUAGGGAAUCUUCCGCAAUGGGCGAAAGCUUGACGGAGCAACGCCGCGUGAGUGAUGAAGGUCUUCGGAUCGUAAAACUCUGUUAUUAGGGAAGAACAAAUGUGUAAGUAACGAUGCACGUCUUGACGGUACCUAAUCAGAAAGCCACGGCUAACUACGU